AGCCGGAUUAAUACCGCAUACGCUCUACGGAGGAAAGGGGGGGAUCUUCGGACCUCUCGCUACAGGGGCGGCCGAUGGCAGAUUAGCUAGUUGGUGGGGUAAAGGCCUACCAAGGCGACGAUCUGUAGCUGGUCUGAGAGGACGACCAGCCACACUGGGACUGAGACACGGCCCAGACUCCUACGGGAGGCAGCAGUGGGGAAUUUUGGACAAUGGGCGCAAGCCUGAUCCAGCAAUGCCGCGUGUGUGAAGAAGGCCUUCGGGUUGUAAAGCACUUUUGUCCGGAAAGAAAACUUCUGCCCUAAUACGGCGGGAGGAUGACGGUACCGGAAGAAUAAGCACCGGCUAACUACGUGCCAGCAGCCGCGGUAAUACGUAGGGUGCAAGCGUUAAUCGGAAUUACUGGGCGUAAAGCGUGCGCAGGCGGUUCGCUAAGACAGAUGUGAAAUCCCCGGGCUUAACCUGGGAACUGCAUUUGUGACUGGCGGGCUAGAGUAUGGCAGAGGGGGGUAGAAUUCCACGUGUAGCAGUGAAAUGCGUAGAGAUGUGGAGGAAUACCGAUGGCGAAGGCAGCCCCCUGGGCCAAUACUGACGCUCA
RNAcentral lists this ribosomal RNA (598 nucleotides) under Paraburkholderia sp. Its description in RNAcentral is "bacterial SSU rRNA". It matches the Rfam family "Bacterial small subunit ribosomal RNA", at positions 156 to 749 of the family's 1533-position model. Lineage: Bacteria; Pseudomonadati; Pseudomonadota; Betaproteobacteria; Burkholderiales; Burkholderiaceae. The record is from RNAcentral.